CCUACGGGAGGCAGCAGUAGGGAAUUUUCGGCAAUGGGGGGAACCCUGACCGAGCAACGCCGCGUGAAGGAAGAAGGAAUUCGUUCUGUAAACUUCUGUUAUAAAGGAAGAAAGACGGAUGGAGGAAAUGACAUCCGAGUGACGGUACUUUAUGAGAAAGCCACGGCUAACUACGUGCAAGCAGCAGCGGUAAUACGUAGGUGGCAAGCGUUAUCCGGAAUUAUUGGGCGUAAAGAGGGAGCAGGCGGCAGCAAAGGUCUGUGGUGAAAGAAUGAAGCUUAACUUCAGUAAGCCAUAGAAACCGGGCAGCUAGAGGGCAGGAGAGGAUCGUGGAAUGCCAUGUGUAGCGGUGAAAUGCGUAGAUAUAUGGAGGAACACCAGUGGCGAAGGCGACGAUCUGGCCUGCAACUGACGCUCAGUCCCGAAAGCGUGGGGAGCAAAUAGGAUUAGAUACCCGUGUAGUC
This 464-nucleotide ribosomal RNA is filed under the name uncultured bacterium. Its description in RNAcentral is "partial 16S ribosomal RNA". It matches the Rfam family "Bacterial small subunit ribosomal RNA", at positions 338 to 795 of the family's 1533-position model. The record is from RNAcentral.